This is a long non-coding RNA of Pseudophryne corroboree (corroboree frog), 322 nucleotides long. RefSeq lists it as uncharacterized. The transcript has 2 exons. The record is from RefSeq and is a predicted model, not a curated record. NCBI's taxonomy places the organism in Eukaryota, Metazoa, Chordata, Amphibia, Anura, Myobatrachidae.
CAGAAUUCCGUGUGAUAGUGACUGGCAAUGUGACGGCAGGAAGAAGUGCUGUGAAUUUUUCUGUGGCAAAGGAUGUUUGGAGCCUGUGCGUAAGUGGAAUGCAGCGUCCGGGUAACACACAGAUAUACAGGAUUUUGGGCGACGUUUAAUAUAUUGGCUGCCUGAUGUCACAUGACCCUGCGGCCCCGGACGCUCUGUACCUGCAGAUUGGGGGCACCGGGCACAGAUUAUGGAUGAUAAAUGUACAUUGAGUCACAGUAACGGCUCAUUGUAUUGUGAGUGAUGUCCAGUGUAAAUGUAAUAAAAUGAGUUCCAGUCAUCA